This 31-nucleotide non-coding RNA is filed under the name unclassified sequences. The record is from RNAcentral.
CUAUGACUAAUUAUUGUCAUGGCGGAAGGAG